GCUUGCUUGGUGGAUCAGUGGCGAACGGGUGAGUAACACGUGAGCAACCUGCCCUGGACUCUGGGAUAAGCGCUGGAAACGGCGUCUAAUACUGGAUAUGAGACGUGAUCGCAUGGUCGUGUUUGGAAAGAUUUUUCGGUCUGGGAUGGGCUCGCGGCCUAUCAGCUUGUUGGUGAGGUAAUGGCUCACCAAGGCGUCGACGGGUAGCCGGCCUGAGAGGGUGACCGGCCACACUGGGACUGAGACACGGCCCAGACUCCUACGGGAGGCAGCAGUGGGGAAUAUUGCACAAUGGGCGGAAGCCUGAUGCAGCAACGCCGCGUGAGGGAUGACGGCCUUCGGGUUGUAAACCUCUUUUAGCAGGGAAGAAGCGUAAGUGACGGUACCUGCAGAAAAAGCGCCGGCUAACUACGUGCCAGCAGCCGCGGUAAUACGUAGGGCGCAAGCGUUAUCCGGAAUUAUUGGGCGUAAAGAGCUCGUAGGCGGUUUGUCGCGUCUGCUGUGAAAUCCCGAGGCUCAACCUCGGGCCUGCAGUGGGUACGGGCAGACUAGAGUGCGGUAGGGGAGAUUGGAAUUCCUGGUGUAGCGGUGGAAUGCGCAGAUAUCAGGAGGAACACCGAUGGCGAAGGCAGAUCUCUGGGCCGUAACUGACGCUGAGGAGCGAAAGGGUGGGGAGCAAACAGGCUUAGAUACCCUGGUAGUCCACCCCGUAAACGUUGGGAACUAGUUGUGGGGACCAUUCCACGGUUUCCGUGACGCAGCUAACGCAUUAAGUUCCCCGCCUGGGGAGUACGGCCGCAAGGCUAAAACUCAAAGGAAUUGACGGGGACCCGCACAAGCGGCGGAGCAUGCGGAUUAAUUCGAUGCAACGCGAAGAACCUUACCAAGGCUUGACAUAUACGAGAACGGGCCAGAAAUGGUCAACUCUUUGGACACUCGUAAACAGGUGGUGCAUGGUUGUCGUCAGCUCGUGUCGUGAGAUGUUGGGUUAAGUCCCGCAACGAGCGCAACCCUCGUUCUAUGUUGCCAGCACGUAAUGGUGGGAACUCAUGGGAUACUGCCGGGGUCAACUCGGAGGAAGGUGGGGAUGACGUCAAAUCAUCAUGCCCCUUAUGUCUUGGGCUUCACGCAUGCUACAAUGGCCGGUACAAAGGGCUGCAAUACCGUGAGGUGGAGCGAAUCCCAAAAAGCCGGUCCCAGUUCGGAUUGAGGUCUGCAACUCGACCUCAUGAAGUCGGAGUCGCUAGUAAUCGCAGAUCAGCAACGCUGCGGUGAAUACGUUCCCGGGUCUUGUACACACCGCCCGUCAAGUCAUGAAAGUCGGUAACACCUGAAGCCGGUGGCCUA
This 1347-nucleotide ribosomal RNA is filed under the name Microbacterium testaceum. RNAcentral's name for it is "bacterial SSU rRNA". It matches the Rfam family "Bacterial small subunit ribosomal RNA", at positions 78 to 1437 of the family's 1533-position model. Lineage: Bacteria; Bacillati; Actinomycetota; Actinomycetes; Micrococcales; Microbacteriaceae. The record is from RNAcentral.